Molecule: ribosomal RNA, 504 nt
Filed under: uncultured bacterium
Lineage: Bacteria
Description: bacterial SSU rRNA
Rfam family: Bacterial small subunit ribosomal RNA
Source: RNAcentral
AAAUGAAUAGACGGGGGCUCACACAAGCGGUGGAGCAUGUUGUUCAAUUCGAAGCAACGCGAAAAACCUUACCUGGGUUUGACAUGCAUGUAGUUGUAUCCUGAAAGGGAGAUCAGACCGGAGUAAUCCGGCAAGCAUGCACAGGUGCUGCAUGGCUGUCGUCAGCUCGUGUCGUGAGACGUUAGGUUAAGUCCUGUAACGAGCGAAACCCCUGUCGUCUGUUGCCAUCGGGUCAUGCCGGGCACUCUGACGAGACUGCCGGUUUUAAGCCGGAGGAAGGCGGGGACGACGUCAAGUCAUCAUGGUCCUUACGCCCAGGGCUACAAACGUGCUACAAUGGUCGAUACAGAGAGUCGCAAUAUCGUGAGAUGGAGCAAAUCUUCAAAGUCGGCCCCAGUUCAGAUUGAAGGCUGAAAUUCGUCUUCAUGAAGUCGGAAUCGCUAGUAAUCGCGGAUCAGAUACGCCGCGGUGAAUCUGUUCCUGAGCCUUGUACACACCGCCCGU